GACGAACGCUGGCGGCGUGCCUACUACAUGCAAGUAGGACGCAGUUGCGAACGGGUGAGUAACGCGUAGGUAACUGCCUAUUAGAGGGGGAUAACUAUUGGAAACGAUAUCUAAUACCGCAUACUAGUAGAUUGACCUGCGUUGUAUUAGCUAAUAGGUAGGGUAAUGGCAUACCUAGGCGACGAUACAUAGCCGACCUGAGAGGGUGAGCGGGCACACUGGGACGGAGACACGGGCCAGACUCCUACGGGAGGCAGCAGUAGGGAAUAUUAGGUAAUGGGGGGAACACGGAGCGAGCAACGCCGCGGGAGUGAAGAAGGUUUUCGGAUCGUAAAGCUCUGUUGUUAAGGAAGCGGUACUUAACAAGAAAGGGACGGCUAACUACGUGCCAGCAGCAGCGGUAAUAC
RNAcentral lists this ribosomal RNA (407 nucleotides) under uncultured bacterium. Its description in RNAcentral is "partial 16S ribosomal RNA". It matches the Rfam family "Bacterial small subunit ribosomal RNA", at positions 28 to 526 of the family's 1533-position model. The record is from RNAcentral.